GUCCACCAAUUAACCCUCAAAUCCAACACAUCAAUUUUGGUUUACAAAUUUCUGGUUCUACACUUUUUUUGUUUACCAGGUAUUAUCCUAAUAGUCUCUGAGUUCCAUCAGUAGGCCUUUUCAAUUGGACUAAUUCAGUCUGUCUUCAGUUUUUUGGGGGAAGGAAGUCAGUAAAAUCAAUAUUUGUCACAACAACGUAUAAUAUCUUAUGAACUUUUUUUACAGUUGAACUCCUAAUUUGGGUAAAUUUGUAGACCUCCAUCACCACAACAGGACCUGCCCUUCAAUUUUAGCCAUCAAGGGUAAAACCCAGCUUUAGCUUCUUCCAGCUAUUUUUUAAUAGACUUCACUUUAUUCUUAUUUCCCCCUUCCAUGUUCUCAAUGUUUUUUAGUUAAUUUAGUGUAGCGUUUGAGUAGUUGUGUGGUCAAUUAUAUUCUCUUUUUCAGUUUCAUUUUAAGUUUAUUUUGGUCUUGGUUCCAAAAAGAAUUGCCAGUUGGUACUGAAGGAUGGCCAGAAAGUUAACUGGAUUGAAAUAGCAUCUUUCAUGUAAUACAGAUAUCUAUUACAAACAUUUCUAGAGCACUGCCUUAGAGAGACUGAGCUACUGGGGAGAUGAAGGUGGUGCAAAACAGAGCACCGCAAGAGUUCAAGGGGACAGAAUCUAUACUUCAUUCCUUCUUGAUUAAGUAAGCCCUUCAAGCAAUUCCACCUGACUGACCCUUAGAAUUAUCAGUAGGGGAAUAGAGGUGAAUGAGAUCCAGUAAGACAUUGGGUCAGAAGGAAGAGUCUAGUUAGGCUAAGCAUCAGAGUGACGCAGUCCCACUAGACACCCCCUUAGUGCUGAGAAGUAAAGGGCCAUCAUCAUUCCUCUGGAGCCCCAACAAUUUAACUCCUGACAGCACUCAGGCAGCAGUGGUGCUGAGGAUGACAGACUUCUCCCUUUGAGAGAGAAAAAUCACAUCAUUUCUUCCCAUCUUGGUACAAAAUUCUCAAUUGUGAAACAUACUGACUACUCUGCAGAAGGUACCUUCAUUUUAAUCUGCCUUGUUACACCGAGGCAGCUUUGAGAGACGUCAAAGUGCACCAAGCCUCAGCACACCGAAGUGAAUCCUCAAAAGCACCAUGGGAAACAUUGUAAGAGAAGCAUCUAAAAGCAUUACUAAUCGAAGGCAGGUGCUGGUUUUCAAAUAUCUA
This 1195-nucleotide long non-coding RNA is filed under the name Chrysemys picta bellii (western painted turtle). RNAcentral's name for it is "lncRNA (ENSCPBG00000013580.1)". Lineage: Eukaryota; Metazoa; Chordata; Testudines; Emydidae. The record is from RNAcentral.